CACGCGGUAGCGCCGAGCCCUACCACCGCGCCCGGGGCCGGAUGUACAGGUAGGGACGGGGGACCCAGGUUCUCCGGAGUCCGGUUCGCCGGCUCCUUGGGGUGAAGCCACUCGCUGCGAGGCGAGCGGCCGGGCAGUCUCCAGCCCGAACCCGACAGCUCACCUCGCAGGCGUUUCGGAGGAAUGAC
This 188-nucleotide small RNA is filed under the name Micrococcales bacterium. Its description in RNAcentral is "c-di-AMP sequence". It matches the Rfam family "c-di-AMP riboswitch aptamer (ydaO/yuaA leader)". Rfam says of the family: This family represents a conserved RNA structure found upstream of the ydaO and yuaA genes in Bacillus subtilis and related genes in other bacteria. The ydaO/yuaA element is thought to act as a genetic "off" switch for the ydaO and yuaA genes in its native state. Lineage: Bacteria; Bacillati; Actinomycetota; Actinomycetes; Micrococcales. The record is from RNAcentral.